This 72-nucleotide transfer RNA is filed under the name Camelus bactrianus (Bactrian camel). It matches the Rfam family "tRNA". From Rfam's summary of the family: Transfer RNA (tRNA) molecules are approximately 80 nucleotides in length. Their secondary structure includes four short double-helical elements and three loops (D, anti-codon, and T loops). Further hydrogen bonds mediate the characteristic L-shaped molecular structure. tRNAs have two regions of fundamental functional importance: the anti-codon, which is responsible for specific mRNA codon recognition, and the 3' end, to which the tRNAs corresponding amino acid is attached (by aminoacyl-tRNA synthetases). tRNAs cope with the degeneracy of the genetic code in two manners: having more than one tRNA (with a specific anti-codon) for a particular amino acid; and 'wobble' base-pairing, i.e. permitting non-standard base-pairing at the 3rd anti-codon position. Lineage: Eukaryota; Metazoa; Chordata; Mammalia; Artiodactyla; Camelidae. The record is from Rfam by way of RNAcentral. RNAcentral also lists the same sequence under 1 other name.
AAGGGUGUAGCUCAGUGGUAGAGCUUGCGCUUAGCAUGCACAAGGUCCUAGGUUCAAUCCCCAGUACCUCCA